This 309-nucleotide ribosomal RNA is filed under the name Kiritimatiellia bacterium. RNAcentral describes it as "partial 23S ribosomal RNA". It matches the Rfam family "Bacterial large subunit ribosomal RNA", at positions 2622 to 2925 of the family's 2925-position model. The record is from RNAcentral. Lineage: Bacteria; Pseudomonadati; Kiritimatiellota; Kiritimatiellia.
UGAGACAGUUCGGUCCUUAUCCACUGUGGGCGUUGGAGAUUUGAGAGGAGCAUUCCUUAGUACGAGAGGACCGGGAAUGACGCACCACUGGUUUUCCGGUUGUCGCGCCAGCGGCAGUGCCGGGUAGCUAUGUGCGGAACGGAUAAGCGCUGAAAGCAUCUAAGCGCCAAGCCUACCUCAAGAUAAGAUCUCCCUAUCGCGCAAGCGGUACUAAAGGCCGGUUGAAGACUACAACCUUGAUAGGCUGGGUGUGUACGCGUAGUGAUACGCUUAGCUAACCAGUACUAAUAGGCCGUGAGGCUUGACCAU